CCCAGGAGGAGCUCUUGGAUCUAUCUCCCUUCUUCUUGGUCACACCACUUCAUCAGCCACCUCAGCACUCAUUAAGAACAUCCUCUGAUGGGAUGAGAUCACGCACGGUGCUUUUCAGGAAAAGCUGAAGGAGUCUUAGUGGUUAAACCCUGGACUUACAUCUCAGAUGUCAGAAGAUAGCUGAGGAGUGAUGUUAUCAUCAUCAUCAUCAUCAUCAUCAUCAUCAACGGAAAGUAUUCAUUGAGGUCUCCUCUUCCUUUUGGGACCCAGUCAAGGCAACAACCUGUAUCUUUUUAGAGCAAGGAGGGGAGUUCUGAAGAUGACACGAUCAUUCUGAACCCUCUGCUCCAGUAUGCUCAUCUUCUCUCUGCUGUAGACCAAGCUGAUCUGACUAACUGCAGCUGUCUUUCCAACUUCACUGCUAUU
Molecule: long non-coding RNA, 426 nt
Organism: Ornithorhynchus anatinus (platypus)
Lineage: Eukaryota; Metazoa; Chordata; Mammalia; Monotremata; Ornithorhynchidae
Exons: 4
Source: RefSeq, a predicted model, not a curated record